UGCUCUUUUUGCUGAGCUCUUUUUUUCUUUUCUUUUAUUUAUUUUUUUUUCUUUCUUUCUUUACUUACUUGUUUUAGAGAUGGGGUCUUGCACUGUUACGCAGGCUGGAGCACAGUGGCAAGUUGGAAUGUUAUUUCUUGAAUAGUCCUUAUCCGAAAUGCUUGGGACUAGAACUUUUUAUUGUACCUGAAUCUUCACAUUUUAGACAUUAUUUAUUAAUUUCCUACUGUGAACAAUGGUAAAUUAGCAUAUUUCCUCUUUCCUUUUCCCUUUCUUCCCGCUACUACCUGAUCUUAGUUACUUAUAGUAUUCGUCGUUGUUUACUUCUGUUAAGUUUAUUUGUACAAGGGGGCCAGGGCAGGAGCGAGGGAGCAGAGGGCCCCAUAUGAGGGCCGUCAGGUAAGGAGAGGGCGGGUCCCCCUUUGUAGGCUGCUGUGGCUCUUACUGUGUGCUUGAGAUGGUGAGCUGCUGAAAAAUCUAAGUGGAACAGUGACCUGACCUGGCUUUCGCAUUCAUCUGCCACUCGUAUUUCUCUCCUUCCUCACUUCCCCUCCUUCCUUUCCCUUCCCACUCUCAUUUUUUAAUCCAUUAGAUGUCAUGUGCUCCUC
Molecule: long non-coding RNA, 608 nt
Filed under: Homo sapiens (human)
Lineage: Eukaryota; Metazoa; Chordata; Mammalia; Primates; Hominidae
Description: non-protein coding lnc-PIGP-5:2
Source: RNAcentral